CCUACGGGGCGCAGCAGGCGCGAAACCUCCGCAAUGUGCGAAAGCACGACGAGGUUAUUCCGAGUGAUUUCCGCUGAGGAAAUCUUUUCUCAGAUCUAAAAAGUCUGGGGAAUAAGGGGAGGGCAAGUCUGGUGUCAGCCGCCGCGGUAAUACCAGCUCCUCGAGUGGUCAGGGCGUUUAUUGGGCCUAAAGCAUCCGUAGCCGGCUCAGUUGGUCUCCUGUUAAAUCCAGCGGCUCAACCGUUGGUCUGCAGGAGAUACCGCUGGGCUAGGAGGCGGGAGAGGCGGACGGUACUCCGAGGGUAGGGGUAAAAUCCUUUGAUCCCCGGAAGACCACCAGUGGCGAAGGCGGUCCGCCAGAACGCGCUCGACGGUGAGGGAUGAAAGCUGGGGGAGCGAACCGGAUUAGAUACCCGGGUAGUCCCAGCCGUAAACGAUGCGAGCUAGGUGACACAACGCCUUCGGGGCGUUGUGGUGCCGCAGGGAAGCCGUUAAGCUCGCCGCCUGGGGAGUACGGACGCAAGUCUGAAACUUAAAGGAAUUGGCGGGGGAGCACCACAAGGGGUGAAGCCUGCGGUUCAAUUGGAGUCAACGCCGGGAAUCUUACCGGGAGCGACAGCAGAUUGAAGGUCAAGCUGAAGACUUUACCAGACGAGCUGAGAGGAGGUGCAUGUCCGUCGCCAGCUCGUGCCGUGAGCGUCCUGAUAAGUCAGCACGAGCGAGACCCCUACUUCUAAUUGCUUUAACAGACAUCGCAAGGUGUUUGGUGCUAGGUU
Molecule: ribosomal RNA, 775 nt
Filed under: uncultured Thermoprotei archaeon
Lineage: Archaea; Thermoproteati; Thermoproteota; Thermoprotei
Description: bacterial SSU rRNA
Rfam family: Archaeal small subunit ribosomal RNA
Source: RNAcentral